Non-coding RNA from Peptoniphilus grossensis, 229 nucleotides. NCBI's taxonomy places the organism in Bacteria, Bacillati, Bacillota, Tissierellia, Tissierellales, Peptoniphilaceae. The record is from Rfam.
AUAAAUGCCAUGAAAGAGAAAAAGAUAUUUAAUGAGUCUUAAAGAGAGUGGGGAUGGUGAGAGCCCAUAGAUAAGUUAGUAUCAUAUAUUCACUCUUAAGCAUGAAGAUUGAACACGAGUAGAUCUUUACGGCAGUCACCGUUAUCAUAGACUAGAGAUUGUCAGAUCUUUAAAGAGGAAAUAUUUUUAUUUCGAAUUUAGGUGGUACCGCGAAUCCUUCGCCCUAUGU